RNAcentral lists this ribosomal RNA (498 nucleotides) under Boophis aff. englaenderi CaNEW. Its description in RNAcentral is "partial large subunit ribosomal RNA". It matches the Rfam family "Bacterial large subunit ribosomal RNA", at positions 1942 to 2606 of the family's 2925-position model. Lineage: Eukaryota; Metazoa; Chordata; Amphibia; Anura; Mantellidae. The record is from RNAcentral.
CUAACCGUGCAAAGGUAGCAUAAUCACUUGUUCUUUAAAUGAGGACCAGAAUCAACGGCAUCACGAGGAUCCCACUGUCUCCCCCCUCUAAUCAGUGAAACUAAUCUCCCCGUGAAGAAGCGGGGAUAUAAAUAUAAGACGAGAAGACCCCAUGGAGCUUUAAACCCAACAACACCCAUUUAUUUUUUAUCCUUACAUCAACCAAGGAGUGUCUGUUUGGUUUUAGGUUGGGGUGACCACGGAGUAUAAAACAACCUCCAUGAAGAAAGGACUAAAAAUCCUUAUUAGAGAAAUACACUUCCAAAAAUUAACAAAUUAACUUUUAAUGAUCCGAUAUUUGAUCAACGAACCAAGUUACCCUGGGGAUAACAGCGCAAUCCACCUCAAGAGCUCAUAUCGACAAGUGGGUUUACGACCUCGAUGUUGGAUCAGGGUAUCCUAGUGGUGCAGCAGCUACUGAUGGUUCGUUUGUUCAACGAUUAAAACCCUACGUGAUCU